Molecule: ribosomal RNA, 557 nt
Filed under: Naganishia adeliensis
Lineage: Eukaryota; Fungi; Basidiomycota; Tremellomycetes; Filobasidiales; Filobasidiaceae
Description: eukaryotic LSU rRNA
Rfam family: Eukaryotic large subunit ribosomal RNA
Source: RNAcentral
AAAUUUGAAAUCUGGUAGCCUUCGGUUGCCCGAGUUGUAAUCUAGAGAAGUGUUUUCCGUGCCGGCCCAUGUACAAGUCCCUUGGAACAGGGCGUCAUAGAGGGUGAGAAUCCCGUCCUUGACAUGGACCCCCGGUGCUUUGUGAUACACUUUCAACGAGUCGAGUUGUUUGGGAAUGCAGCUCAAAAUGGGUGGUGAAUUCCAUCUAAAGCUAAAUAUUGGCGAGAGACCGAUAGCGAACAAGUACCGUGAGGGAAAGAUGAAAAGCACUUUGGAAAGAGAGUUAAACAGUACGUGAAAUUGUUGAAAGGGAAACGAUUGAAGUCAGUCAUGCUCUUAGGAUUCAGCCGUUCUGCGGUGUAUUUCCUUUGAGUGGGGUCAACAUCAGUUUUGAUCGAUGGAUAAAGGCACGAGGAAGGUAGCACUCUCGGGUGAACUUAUAGCCUCGCGUCAUAUACAUUGAUUGGGACUGAGGAACGCAGCAUGCCUUUAUGGCCGGGAUUCGUCCACGUACAUGCUUAGGAUGUUGACAUAAUGGCUUUAAACGACCCGUCUUG